CCCUAUGGACGCAGCAGUAGGGAAUCUUCCACAAUGGACGAAAGUCUGAUGGAGCAACGCCGCGUGAGUGAAGAAGGGUUUCGGCUCGUAAAGCUCUUUGGGUAGUGAAGAAAGAUAGAGGUAGUAACUGGCCUUUAUUUGACGGUAAUUACUUAGAAAGUCACGGCUAACUACGUGCCAGCAGCCGCGGUAAUACGUAGGUGGCAAGCGUUGUCCGGAUUUAUUGGGCGUAAAGCGAGUGCAGGCGGU
This 249-nucleotide ribosomal RNA is filed under the name uncultured bacterium. RNAcentral's name for it is "partial 16S ribosomal RNA". It matches the Rfam family "Bacterial small subunit ribosomal RNA", at positions 338 to 579 of the family's 1533-position model. The record is from RNAcentral.